UACGUAGGUGGCAAGCGUUGUCCGGAUUUAUUGGGUUUAAAGGGUGCGUAGGCGGCCCUGUAAGUCAGUGCUGAAAUAUCCCAGCUUAACUGGGAGGGUGACAUUGAUACUGCGGGGCUAGAGUACAGAUGAGGUAGGCGGAAUUGACGGUGUAGCGGUGAAAUGCUUAGAUAUCGUCAAGAACACCUAUAGCGAAGGCAGCUUACUAGGCUGUAACUGACGCUGAGGCACGAAAGUGUGGGGAUCAAACAGG
Molecule: ribosomal RNA, 253 nt
Filed under: uncultured bacterium
Lineage: Bacteria
Description: partial 16S ribosomal RNA
Rfam family: Bacterial small subunit ribosomal RNA
Source: RNAcentral